RNAcentral lists this ribosomal RNA (401 nucleotides) under uncultured bacterium. Its description in RNAcentral is "partial 16S ribosomal RNA". It matches the Rfam family "Archaeal small subunit ribosomal RNA", at positions 473 to 873 of the family's 1478-position model. The record is from RNAcentral.
ACACCGGCGGCCCGAGUGGUGAUCGUGAUUAUUGGGUCUAAAGGGUCCGUAGCCGGUUUGGUCAGUCCUCCGGGAAAUCUGAUAGCUCAACUAUUAGGCUUUCGGGGGAUACUGCCAGACUUGGAACCGGGAGAGGUAAGAGGUACUACAGGGGUAGGAGUGAAAUCUUGUAAUCCCUGUGGGACCACCUGUGGCGAAGGCGUCUUACCAGAACGGGUUCGACGGUGAGGGACGAAAGCUGGGGGCACGAACCGGAUUAGAUACCCGGGUAGUCCCAGCCGUAAACGAUGCUCGCUAGGUGUCAGGCAUGGCGCGACCGUGUCUGGUGCCGCAGGGAAGCCGUGAAGCGAGCCACCUGGGAAGUACGGCCGCAAGGCUGAAACUCAAAUGAAUUGGCGGGG